Non-coding RNA from Coffea arabica (coffee), 299 nucleotides. NCBI's taxonomy places the organism in Eukaryota, Viridiplantae, Streptophyta, Magnoliopsida, Gentianales, Rubiaceae. The record is from RefSeq and is a predicted model, not a curated record.
UAAGUUUCAUGCAUUUGCUACAGGUUGAGAGAUCAAGACUAUCAGCAAGCACGAAGAAUCGUGGAGAUUCUUUUCUCAAGGUGUAUGUCGGAUAAAGUAAGAAGGAAAAAAGAUGCAACAUUUUCAGCAUUGAGCCUUGUGGGUAUGUGCAAUGGCUUAUGUUUCAAAUUUUUUGUGCUCUGUGGCUGUUUUUGUUUUGGGAGAUUUGUUAUCAAGUCUGUUUUUUUAAUCUCGUUAUCACUAUUAUUAUGUCUUCAAGAAAUGGAGGAUAAAUGAUUGAAGGUAUGUUGUUUUUCUCA